AUUGAACGCUGGCGGCAUGCCUAACACAUGCAAGUCGAACGGUUGAAGUGUGCUUGCUUCGGGUGUCAGCGUCGCACGGGUGAGUGAUGCCUAUAAAUCUGCCACCUACGGGGGGAGAACGUCUCUAAACGGGCGCUAAUACCUCCUGCGUCGUGAGGCGGAAAGUGGGUGAUCUUCGGACCUCACUCUAUCAGAUGAUCCUAGGUCGGAUUAGCUAGUUGGUGGGGUAAAGGCCUACCAAGGCGAGGAUCGGUGACUGGUCUGGGAGGAGGGUCAGUCAGACUGGAAUUGGACCACGGUCCAGACUCCUACGGGAGGCAGCAGAGGGGAAUAUAGGACUAUGGGAGGAAGGCAGAUCCAGCCAUGCCGCGUGUGUGGAGAAGGUCUUGCGAUUGUAAAGUACUUUAAGUUGGGAGGAAGGGCAGUAAGUUAAGACCUUGCUGUAUUGACGUUACCAACAGAAUAAGCACCGGCUAACUUCGUG
RNAcentral lists this ribosomal RNA (484 nucleotides) under uncultured bacterium. Its description in RNAcentral is "partial 16S ribosomal RNA". It matches the Rfam family "Bacterial small subunit ribosomal RNA", at positions 30 to 507 of the family's 1533-position model. The record is from RNAcentral.